This 406-nucleotide ribosomal RNA is filed under the name uncultured bacterium. RNAcentral's name for it is "bacterial SSU rRNA". It matches the Rfam family "Bacterial small subunit ribosomal RNA", at positions 9 to 417 of the family's 1533-position model. The record is from RNAcentral.
GAGUUUGAUCGUGGCUCAGGACGAACGCUGGCGGCGUGCUUAACACAUGCAAGUCGAACGGUGAUGCCCUUCGGGGUUGAUCAGUGGCGAACGGGUGAGUAACACGUGAGCAACCUGCUCCUGGCUCUGGGACAACCACUGGAAACGGUGGCUAAUACCGGAUACGACUCGAUUCGGGCAUCCGAUGUGAGUGGAAAGUUUUUUCGGUUGGGGAUGGGCUCGCGGCCUAUCAGCUUGUUGGUGGGGUGAUGGCCUACCAAGGCGACGACGGGUAGCCGGUCUGAGAGGGCGAUCGGCCACGACUGGGACUGAGACACGGCCCAGACUCCUACGGGAGCAGCAGUGGGGAAUAUUGCACAAUGGGCGAAAGCCUGAUGCAGCGACGCCGCGUGAGGGAUGACGGCCU